Colius striatus (speckled mousebird) is the source of this 2685-nucleotide RNA transcript. It is a transcript of the gene named EGF like domain multiple 6, with no coding region annotated. NCBI's taxonomy places the organism in Eukaryota, Metazoa, Chordata, Aves, Coliiformes, Coliidae. The transcript is spliced from 13 exons. The record is from RefSeq and is a predicted model, not a curated record.
ACAGUCACGGCUGAUGUGGGGCUGUGCCUGAGUACUGCCUGCCGGCGGGCGGACACGGCUUUCCGUGGGGGGACACCGCCGUGGCUCCAUGCCCGUGGGGCACAGCCUCCUGGACUCCAGCCUGCCCUCCUCCCGCCUUGAGCGAUACCUGGCGCUCCCCGCCGCGCCCGAGCGCGCUCGCCCCGCGGGACCUCGCUGCCCGCCCCGGCCCGGGGCGUGUGGGAUCCGCCGCGCUCCGCCCCACCAGGUUAUACAGCCCGGUCCUACCGCCCACCCGCCCGCGUUCGCCUUCUCCCUCGCUGCCGUCUCGCCUCACAGCCGUGGGGCCGGGGCCGCCUCCCCGCUGCCGUGCGAUGGUGCCGGCGCCCCAGAGUGCCGUGCUCGCCGCCCUCUUCGCCGCCGGGCUGGCCGCUUUGGGCAGCUCGAGAGCUCGUGGGCAGCUGGUAGCUGUGAGCCAGCCUGGGGUGUGUCGCUAUGGUUCUAGGUUGGAUUGCUGUUAUGGCUGGAAAAAGAACAACAAGGGCCACUGCGAAGCUAUCUGUGGACAUGGCUGCAAGUAUGGAGAGUGCACGGGACCAAACAAAUGCAAAUGUUUCCCUGGAUUUGCUGGGAAAACCUGUAAUCAAGAUCUGAAUGAAUGUGGACUGAAACCACGUCCCUGUGAGCACAGAUGUAUGAACACACAUGGCAGCUACAAGUGCUAUUGUCUUAACGGGUACAUGCUUAUGCUGGAUGGCACGUGUGCAAGUUCUACAACAUGUGCCAUGGCAAAUUGCCAAUACGGAUGUGAAGAGGUCAAAGGGGAGGUGCAAUGUCUUUGUCCAUCAGGUGGCCUUCAGUUGGGACCAAACAGGAGAACGUGCAUUGAUAUUGAUGAAUGCUCUAUUGGCAAAGCUGUCUGCUCUCACAACCGCAAAUGCGUCAACACAUUUGGAAGCUACUAUUGCAAGUGCCAGCUUGGUUAUGAACUGAAGUACACCAGUGGCCGUUAUGACUGUGUAGACAUAAAUGAAUGUGUGACAGAUACACACAGGUGUAACCUCCACGCAGAGUGCCUCAACACCAAAGGAUCCUUCAAAUGCAAAUGUAAACAAGGCUACCAAGGAAGUGGAUUCGAUUGUGCUGUUAUCCCUGAAAAGUCAGUGAAGGAAAUUGCAAGAAUCCCUGGAACAGCUAUAGACACAAUUAAGAAACUUCUUGCACAUAAAAACAGUGUGAAAAAGCAUGAAGCACUCAAGAAUGUGAUCCCAGAAGCAGCCGUGACACCAGCUUCUAAGACACACUUGCAGCUAUUGGACUAUGAAGGUGGUAUUGAUCUUGGUGAGAGCUACACUGAGGAAGAGAAAGAAACUGAAGCAACUGCAGAAGUGGAGGCAGAUGAGAUAGAUGAAGAGGAGAAGGAAGAUUUUGAGAAUCAAAUUGAACAUGAGCAGACUCUUAGAGGAGAUGUCUUUUUUUCUAAGGUGAAAGAAGCAGCUGCCUUUGGCCCUCUCCUGGUGCAGAGGAAAGUUCCAGUGUCAAGACCAGAGCAAGAAGUUGAUUGCAGCUUCAGUCGAGGGGUCUGUGACUGGAAACAAGAUGCUGAUGAUGACUUUGACUGGAAUCUUGCUGACCGAGAUAAAGGAGAUGGGUACUACAUGGCGGUUCCAGCCUUUGUGGGGCACAAGAAGGAUAUGGGGCGUCUAAAACUUCUCCUCACCGACCUCAAACCAAAGAGCAGCUACUGCCUGAUGUUCAGUUAUCGGCUUGCUGGCGAGAGAGUGGGGAAACUCCGAGUGUUCCUGACAAACAAAAAAAAUGCUCCUAUCUGGGAGCAGAAUCAUGGGAAAGAUGAAAGGUGGAGAACUGGUAAAAUAGAAAUAUUUCAGGGGGCCGAAACAACCAACAGUGUCACUUUUGAAUCAGAACGUGGAAAGGGCAAAACUGGAGAAAUUGGAGUGGACAACGUAACACUAAUUUCUGGUCUAUGCCCAGAAGAUACCAAAUAAUGGAUAUUUGUGUGUAUUGGAUUUAAACCUGUUUUUAAUAUUUGCCUUAUUACUAGUGUAUUUUUGUAUCAUUUUCUUUGUUAAAAAACCCCAAACUAUAAAAACUGUGCUUUGAAUGUAAUGCAGCAAUGCAAACAGAAAAGCUGACAUGUGCAGGAUGCAGAGUACAUUUUUUUUUUAAAUGAAAAUGCUUAAAAAAGGAUUUUUAAUACAUGCUUUGAGUGUAGCACUACUCUAUUUUGUAAUUCAAGGACAGGGUUUUUAAAGUAUUAUUUGUCUAGCUUUUUUACAAAUCCUACAUGCUUUUAUUCCUUAAAGAUUUUUUUCAAGGCUACUCUUACUAUUCAUUUCUUCUACUCCACAAGAACAUAAAGCAGUAUUUAAGAGGAUGUUACUACUUCUGAUGACAUCAUUCUAACUUCCUGCUUAGCGUGUAGAUACUCAAUCUACCCAACAAAUAAGAGGGAGGAGCUUUUUUUCCAUCUUGAUGGAGCCACGCAAAUUGACAAAGACUCUGGGAGUUUCAAAGAGAGGGCAAAGUUUCCUCAGUUGUGUAUUGGAUGCUGACUGUGAUCUCAGGAUGCCUGAAGAACUUCAUCACAAUGAGGCAGAAAAAUGAAACAAAUAUUUUUCUGGACUCACUCCAACUCUCUGAAGUUGCACUAUGCUUACUGAAGAUCAAGAAGAUGAAAGAUAA